GAUGAACGCUAGCGGCAGGCCUAUACACAUGCAAGUCGAGGGGUAACGUGAGUGCUUGCACUUGACGACGACCGGCGCACGGGUGCGGAACGCGUAUGGAACCUACCUUUAUCAGGGGGAUAGCCCAUGGAAACGUGGAUUAAUACCCCAUAGUAUUAUUUCAUUGCAUGAUGAUAUAAUUAAAGAAUUUCGGAUAGAGAUGGCCAUGCGUAUCAUUAGCUAGUAGGCGAGGUAACGGCUCACCUAGGCGACGAUGAUUAGGGGUCCUGAGAGGGAGAUCCCCCACACUGGUACUGAGACACGGACCAGACUCCUACGGGAGGCAGCAGUGAGGAAUAUUGGGCAAUGGAGGCAACUCUGACCCAGCCAUGCCGCGUGCAGGAAGACGGCCCUAUGGGUUGUAAACUGCUUUUAUACAGGAAGAACACCACCCACGUGUGGGUGACUGACGGUACUGUAAGAAUAAGGACCGGCUAACUCCGUG
This 484-nucleotide ribosomal RNA is filed under the name uncultured bacterium. Its description in RNAcentral is "bacterial SSU rRNA". It matches the Rfam family "Bacterial small subunit ribosomal RNA", at positions 28 to 507 of the family's 1533-position model. The record is from RNAcentral.